AACGCACAUUGCGCCCUUUGGUAUUCCGAAGGGCAUGCCUGUUCGAGCGUCAUUAUCACCCCUCAAGCCCUCGGCUUGGUGUUGGACGGUUUGGUGGAGACCCCCUUCGCGGGCUUCUACCCCUCCCAAAGACAAUGACGGCGGCCUCGUUGGACCCCCGGUACACUGAGUUCUUCACGGGACACGUAUCGGACACAUGGGUUUACGGGACACGGUCUGCCUCCCCUCAGGGAGAAUCUUUUUUAUCAAGGUUGACCUCGGAUCAGGUAGGGAUACCCGCUGAACUUAA
This 289-nucleotide unclassified non-coding RNA is filed under the name uncultured Exophiala. Its description in RNAcentral is "sequence contains ITS2". The stretch from base 1 to 52 matches the Rfam family "5.8S ribosomal RNA", at positions 103 to 154 of the family's 154-position model. The record is from RNAcentral. Lineage: Eukaryota; Fungi; Ascomycota; Eurotiomycetes; Chaetothyriales; Herpotrichiellaceae.